Molecule: long non-coding RNA, 1147 nt
Organism: Mangifera indica (mango)
Lineage: Eukaryota; Viridiplantae; Streptophyta; Magnoliopsida; Sapindales; Anacardiaceae
Exons: 2
Source: RefSeq, a predicted model, not a curated record
UGCACCUCUUGCUCUUGGAGACAAGUUUACUUGCUCAAGACACCGACAUUGAAGUUCAAAAGGGUAAUCCCUCAUGCAACCAAUCCGUGGCCCGGCUCCUGUGCUCCAUCUAGAGGACAACUGCUGAGCUAAUUGAUUUCCAGUAUCCACGCUGUGCUCGUGGAGGAAGGACAUGAAUGCCUGGAAAUUUUCUUCAGUUGGAAGGUAGUGUCCACUGUGAGGCCAAACUGACUGUAAAUUUCAAUGAAUCUCAUCAGCAUACAAAACCCACUUGAGGUAAAAGAAUCUAAUUCCUCAGAAACACAGCCAUGGCUUCUUCUUUACCUUCAGAAUACCGUUUUCAACAACCAGUCUGCCAGCUGAUAAUGUUGCACCACCAGCCAGAAAACUUGAAUGCUGAAAUGUGCCCUUGUUCUUCUGCCCAACAUACAAGCUCUUGGAUGUACUGAGAACAAAGAUCCAUUUGGCAUCUUUAGGGCCUUCAGUGGUAUCAAGAAGUUUCCCACUCUUCUUGUAAAAGAACUUUGCACCCUCUAUCACUACUUCAUAUUCAGUCCUUUCUGUCUGCAAGUCAGAAAUUUUGUUGUUCAGCAAACUCCGUUACAGGGUUUUAAAAAGAGAGGAACAAAUGGAGAGUAUAGAUGACUAACUGGACCAAGAUACUUAAUGCAUUGCUGUUGAAGCUUCCACCGGGGACACCUCUCGAUUAGAUUAACUUCUUUUCCUUCACCUAUAUCGAGCCUGCACUUUCAAGACUGACAUAUCAGCUUUGAAAAAUCUCUAAAUUCUCAGCUGAGAAGUUGUUAAUUCAUUUUGUUGUUGUUCCGGUUGUCAUUACCAGUAAAAGAAGGGCUGCCUGCUCUGGCAGUGGAGCCAUGUUGCAUAAUAAAACUGAAGAUUAUGGCCAUAACGAUGGCGAGGAUCAAUCUGCCAACCGAAAGAAUAAUGAAGAAGAACAAUGUCAUGUAUCUUCUGCUUCACAUUCAAUAAUAUAAUUUCCCAGAAGAAUGGACUUACUGCUUCAAGCCAAUGUUGUAAAGCAAGCUUUCGAGCCUUUUCAUCCUUGGACAAACCUUUUCCAACCUGGAAACCAACAAUUGAAACUUUAACAAUCAUGAAUUAGCAAGCUUCUCCUUGUUUGACAAUA